CACAGUAUCUACUGUGAGUCGCUCUGGAUAAGAGCAUCUGCUAAAUGACAAAAA
Salmo salar (Atlantic salmon) is the source of this 54-nucleotide non-coding RNA. The record is from Rfam. Lineage: Eukaryota; Metazoa; Chordata; Actinopteri; Salmoniformes; Salmonidae.